RNAcentral lists this ribosomal RNA (493 nucleotides) under uncultured bacterium. RNAcentral's name for it is "bacterial SSU rRNA". It matches the Rfam family "Bacterial small subunit ribosomal RNA", at positions 37 to 518 of the family's 1533-position model. The record is from RNAcentral.
UGGCGGCGUGCCUAACACAUGCAAGUCGAGCGGGGACAUGCGACGGAUCGGAAGUUUCGGAUGGAAGAGAAGAUGUAUGUUCUAGCGGCGGACGGGUGAGUAACGCGUGAACAAUCUGUCCUUCACAGGGGGAUAACACAGCGAAAGUUGUACUAAUACCGCAUGAGACCACGUCGGGGCAUCCCGAAGGGGUCAAAGGAGCAAUCCGGUGAAGGGUGAGUUCGCGUCCGAUUAGAUAGUUGGUGAGGUAACGGCCCACCAAGUCGACGAUCGGUAGCCGACCUGAGAGGGUGAUCGGCCACAUUGGGACUGAGACACGGCCCAAACUCCUACGGGAGGCAGCAGUGGGGAAUAUUGGGCAAUGGGGGAAACCCUGACCCAGCAACGCCGCGUGAGGGAAGAAGGUUUUCGGAUCGUAAACCUCUGUCCUUGGUGAAGAGAUAGAGACGGUAGCCAAGGAGGAAGCCCCGGCUAACUACGUGCCAGCCGCUGC